This 310-nucleotide ribosomal RNA is filed under the name uncultured bacterium. Its description in RNAcentral is "bacterial SSU rRNA". It matches the Rfam family "Bacterial small subunit ribosomal RNA", at positions 30 to 334 of the family's 1533-position model. The record is from RNAcentral.
AUUGAACGCUGGGCGGUAGGCUUAACACAUGCAAGUCGAGCGGUAACAGGAGUAGCUUGCUACUCGCUGACGAGCGGCGGACGGGUGAGUAACGCGUAGGAAUCUACCUGAUACUGAGGGAUAGCCUUUGGAAACGAAGAUUAAUACCUCAUAGUAUCAUUUAACGGCAUCGUUUAGUGAUUAAAGGUUACGGUAUGAGAUGACUAUGCGUCCUAUUAGUUAGUUGGUAAGGUAACGGCUUACCAAGACUACGAUAGGUAGGGGCCCUGAGAGGGGGAUCCCCCCACACUGGUACUGAGACACGGACCAG